This is a long non-coding RNA of Cheilinus undulatus (humphead wrasse), 368 nucleotides long. RefSeq lists it as uncharacterized. The record is from RefSeq and is a predicted model, not a curated record. NCBI's taxonomy places the organism in Eukaryota, Metazoa, Chordata, Actinopteri, Labriformes, Labridae. The transcript is spliced from 3 exons.
CACAGUACUGUGCAGAAGUUUUAGGCAUGUAGAGCACUAACGGUUCUUCACAGGUCCUGAUGUCCCACAACCCCGGGCAGAAGAGAGGAGGGAGGGUGGCCAGAGUCAAUGUCGACACGCUUGACAUGUACAUGUGUCGCUCAGCAGCCAAGGUCGAGCUUAACAGCAUUUCUUUUGUCUGGGCCUUUGCAACCCUGGUAACACGCCCAGCAACCACCAACAGUUUUCAGAUUAUUUUCCCAUGUCCUUGGUAAUGUACAACGACAUCCAGAGCAUGACCUGGGUGCUGUCAACCCUCCUUCCCGCCUGAUGGGGCCCUCAGGUCGGGUCGCGGGGGCAGCAGCCUAAGCAGGAAAGCCCAGACUUCC